Seriola dumerili (greater amberjack) is the source of this 279-nucleotide long non-coding RNA. RefSeq lists it as uncharacterized. Lineage: Eukaryota; Metazoa; Chordata; Actinopteri; Carangiformes; Carangidae. The transcript is spliced from 3 exons. The record is from RefSeq and is a predicted model, not a curated record.
AUUCUGCUUUCGCCCUCAUCCUACCGCAUUCACUCCCAGAACAUUUCCUCGAGAAAGAGUUAUAGAUUGAAAAGCUCCUGGCUAUCUUCACCCUCUAUGGCUCCUUCAUGAUGGCCCCCUAAUCUCUGCCAGUGUAGUUCCAUGUAUGCAUUGCAAGGCGGCUGUGUAAUCAAGCCUGUGAACUCAACAUCUGAAGGAAGGAUUCUGUUUCUGAUCACAUCCCUAUUGAAGUCCAUCCAUUCACUGAACAUGGAUGCGCUGACUCACUCAAGCUUGCCC